UACAGAGGUCUCAAGCGUUGUUCGGAUUCAUUGGGCGUAAAGGGUGCGUAGGCGGCGCGGUAAGUCGGGUGUGAAAUCUCGGAGCUUAACUCCGAAACUGUAUUCGAUACUGCCGUGCUUGAGGACUGGAGAGGAGACUGGAAUUUACGGUGUAGCGGUGAAAUGCGUAGAUAUCGUAAGGAAGACCAGUGGCGAAGGCGGGUCACUGGCCCGGUACUGACGCUGAGGUGCGAAAGCGUGGGGAGCAAACAGG
Molecule: ribosomal RNA, 253 nt
Filed under: uncultured bacterium
Lineage: Bacteria
Description: partial 16S ribosomal RNA
Rfam family: Bacterial small subunit ribosomal RNA
Source: RNAcentral